CUUGACGAAAUGAUUCAAACUGCUUAGGUGUAAUUGGCUUGGUAAGAACAUCCGCAAUUUGAUCUGAUGAUGGGACAAAGCUUACCUGCAGAACUCAAGUAAGAAUCUUUUCCCGAAUAAAGUGAUGAUCAAUUUCUACAUGUUUCAUUCGUGCAUUAUGUGUGGGGUUUGCAGCUAUAGCUACUGUUGAUGUAUUGUCGCACCAGAUCACAGGUAUCGACUGUGACAAACCAAUCUCAUCUACCAGUUGUUUAACCCACAAAAGCUCUGACACAUAGUUGGCGAGACUUCGAUAUUAUGCUUUAGAGGAUGACCUGGACACAACAUUUUGUUUCUUUGAACACCAUGCAACAGGGUUUGGCUCGAGGUACACGACAUACCCUGUGGUGGAAUGUCGAUCUUCAACAGACGAGGCCCAGUCAGCAUCUGAAUACCCAACAACCUCAACAUUCCCUUUGGUGAAAAUCAAACCAUGGUCAAUAGUCUCAAUAAGAUAUCUUAGCACACGUUUGACUGCUCUCCAAUGAGUCUCACUUGGACAAUUCAUAUACUGGCUCAACUUGUUAACACAAAAGGAUAAUUCUGGUCGAGUGAUGCACAAAUACUGGAGCAUCCCUACUGUACUUCGAUAUAGAGGAACAUCAGUGAAAUGAGAACUACCAUCUGAGACAAUUAAUUUUGGAACACUUACCAUAGGUGUAGGAACAGUUAUAGCUCCUAUCAUACCAGUCUUAGUAAGAAUUUCUAAUAUGUAUUUUUUCUGACUGAGCAACACCCCUUGCGCCAUAUGUUGUACUUCAAUACCUAAAAAAAAAAUCUAGUUGCC
Molecule: long non-coding RNA, 826 nt
Filed under: Gossypium barbadense (sea-island cotton)
Lineage: Eukaryota; Viridiplantae; Streptophyta; Magnoliopsida; Malvales; Malvaceae
Description: long non-coding RNA (GBAR_LNC019503)
Source: RNAcentral